GACGAACGCUGGCGGCGUGCUUAACACAUGCAAGUCGAACGGCAGCGGGGGAGAAGCUUGCUUUUCCUGCCGGCGAGUGGCGAACGGGUGAGUAAUACAUCGGAACGUGCCCUGUAGUGGGGGAUAACUAGUCGAAAGAUUAGCUAAUACCGCAUACGACCUGAGGGUGAAAGUGGGGGACCGCAAGGCCUCAUGCUAUAGGAGCGGCCGAUGUCUGAUUAGCUAGUUGGUGGGGUAAAGGCCUACCAAGGCGACGAUCAGUAGCUGGUCUGAGAGGACGAUCAGCCACACUGGGACUGAGACACGGCCCAGACUCCUACGGGAGGCAGCAGUGGGGAAUUUUGGACAAUGGGCGAAAGCCUGAUCCAGCAAUGCCGCGUGUGAAGAAGGCCUUCGGGUUGUAAAGCACUUUUGUCCGGAAAGAAAUGGCUCUGGUUAAUACCUGGGGUCGAUGACGGUACCGGAAGAAUAAGGACCGGCUAACUACGUGCCAGCCGCCGCAGUAA
Molecule: ribosomal RNA, 506 nt
Filed under: uncultured bacterium
Lineage: Bacteria
Description: partial 16S ribosomal RNA
Rfam family: Bacterial small subunit ribosomal RNA
Source: RNAcentral